AUUGAACGCUGGCGGCAGGCCUAACACAUGCAAGUCGAGCGGAUGAAGGGAGCUUGCUCCUGGAUUCAGCGGCGGACGGGUGAGUAAUGCCUAGGAAUCUGCCUGGUAGUGGGGGAUAACGUCCGGAAACGGGCGCUAAUACCUCAUACGUCCUGAGGGAGAAAGUGGGGGAUCUUCGUACCUCACGCUAUCAGAUGAGCCUAGGUCGGAUUAGCUAGUUGGUGGGGUAAAGGCCUACCAAGGCGACGAUCCGUAACUGGUCUGAGAGGAUGAUCAGUCACACUGGAACUGAGACACGGUCCAGACUCCUACGGGAGGCAGCAGUGGGGAAUAUUGGACAAUGGGCGAAAGCCUGAUCCAGCCAUGCCGCGUGUGUGAAGAAGGUCUUCGGAUUGUAAAGCACUUUAAGUUGGGAGGAAGGGCAGUAAGUUAAUACCUUGCUGUUUUGACGUUACCAACAGAAUAAGCACCGGCUAACUUCGUG
Molecule: ribosomal RNA, 484 nt
Filed under: uncultured bacterium
Lineage: Bacteria
Description: partial 16S ribosomal RNA
Rfam family: Bacterial small subunit ribosomal RNA
Source: RNAcentral